This 404-nucleotide ribosomal RNA is filed under the name Fusobacteriota bacterium. Its description in RNAcentral is "Fusobacteria bacterium partial 16S ribosomal RNA". It matches the Rfam family "Bacterial small subunit ribosomal RNA", at positions 355 to 776 of the family's 1533-position model. The record is from RNAcentral. Lineage: Bacteria; Fusobacteriati; Fusobacteriota.
UGGGGAAUAUUGCACAAUGGAGGGAACUCUGAUGCAGCGACGCUGCGUGAGUGAUGAAGGAAUUCGUUUCGUAAAACUCUGUUCUAUGGGAAGAAAAGGACUGUACCAUAGGAGAAAGCUCCGGCUAAAUACGUGCCAGCAGCCGCGGUAAUACGUAUGGAGCGAGCGUUGUCCGGAAUUAUUGGGCGUAAAGGGUGCGCAGGCGGCUUUACAAGUUGGAUGUGAAAUAUUGUGGCUCAACCACAAACGUGCAUCCAAAACUGCAAAGCUUGAGUUAAAGAGAGGUAAGUGGAAUUCCUGGUGUAGCGGUGGAAUGCGUAGAUAUCAGGAGGAAUACCGGUGGCGAAGGCGACUUACUGGACUUAAACUGACGCUCAGGCACGAAAGCGUGGGGAGCAAACAGG